GCUGCUGCUGAGACAGAAACUUAAAAUGGAUAAUAAGAGUAAAAAACGCCCGGGUGGCGCUGAGAAGCAUCGGGAAAAAAAGCUGAAGUGUCUGGAGGUGUUGGCUGCUAAAUGUGCCAAACUGACGGACCUGUUUGGUGCCGGGUUCACCAGCCCAGCAGCAGCAGGUGCGCCGGGAGACGAGCGAGGAGGACUCGACAAUGAUGAGCGAGUGGAGGCAGACAUGGUAAGUAACGUUGGCCUGGGGCUGGCUAGGCUACAUUUUUUAGACAUGUCCAAAACAAAGUAGAAAACGUUUUUGAUUUUGUUUUAAUUUGCCGAAUUGUGAUAUUAUGGGUUAUUAUUGUUCAGAUGAUUUAGCUAAGCUAGCUAAGAGCUGCUAACGUCGUUUACUGUUGCCAUAGCUGAGCUGUAAAUAGAGAUGCAGAAUCAAGCUGUAUUGAAAACAGAAUACAAGUAAACCUAUAGGGAAUAAUUAGUUUAAUUUUAAAUAUUUGCCAUUGAAUUUAUUGUAAUCUUUCAAUUCAUUUAUUGUUUACUGAGGUGAUAACUAUUUAAUAGGUAUAAUUUGUGUGUAAAUGUUCCACUGAUAAGGUGAGAAAUAUUUAAUAUUAUUGUUAUUAUCACACAAGUUUUAUUGUGCUUAUGUGUUGAUCCUUAAUGAUGUGAUCAUGUACACUAAAUGAUCAAUUAUUCUCCAUUACAGGUUGUUGUGAUAUAUUUGAGGAGUCGUUCUCCCUCUGUUUUAUAUGUGGACAUUUGGGACCACUGUUAGAAUUUGGUUGACCACUUGACAUGUGAGAGCCUGAGGAGUUGUUCCCCCUCUGUCCAUGUUCGAGGACUUGCUCUCUGUCUGUCUCCACUCUCUGCCUUCACUGUACCAAAGUUUGUCUGUUGAGUCUCCUCUAGUCUGGUUGACCACUUGACAUGUGAGAGCCUGAGGAGUUGUUUUCCAGACAAAGGUAGAGCUGGCAGGGGCGUCACCCUGGGCCUGCCCUUUUGGGCUGGGCUUCAGCUGCAGAUCUAAAGGCUGCUUCCAGGGGCAUGGGGCCCUCAGCCUUUGUUUUUCUUUGCUUCUGCACCUUACAACAUACAUCACACCUUAUUUUCACACAUCCAAACACUGUUAACACCACUGACGCGUAACAUAUUUUACACAUCCCACUACGUAGUUAGAGCUAUCUUGAUUUGGAGUUAAAUAAAUUUACUUUUGGCUUGA
Molecule: long non-coding RNA, 1219 nt
Organism: Pleuronectes platessa (European plaice)
Lineage: Eukaryota; Metazoa; Chordata; Actinopteri; Pleuronectiformes; Pleuronectidae
Exons: 3
Source: RefSeq, a predicted model, not a curated record